Molecule: long non-coding RNA, 1064 nt
Filed under: Gallus gallus (chicken)
Lineage: Eukaryota; Metazoa; Chordata; Aves; Galliformes; Phasianidae
Source: RNAcentral
CAAAAACUAAACAGGAUCACAUUCUAAAGGUUCAGUGCAUUCAGCAGCUAUAUAGUUUUGCUGCUUACUCAUCUUUAAGUUGACUUUCAAAAAAUAACACCCUAGCUCAUCAAAAUAUACAUUUUUCAUUUGCUUUAAAUUAAAAUAACAAUAAAAAAACAUUUAAAAGAAUUCACAAUCAAUAGCAUGACUAAGUUUCAGGAUCAUCUACUGCAUAUAAUUUAAAGGUUCCAGAUGCCAAUAUGCACCACGUGGCAGGCCUAUAUGCUUCAUGUAGCAUGUACAUUUAGAAUAAUCUUGAUGUUCAGACUUCAGUUUGCUUCUUCCAAAUAGUGUAGAACACCCACAAUUCCAUGUAGGAGGGAACGCACACAAUUUCUUUUGAAAACUCCACAGGACAAUAAAGCCUACUAAGUUGUUCUUCAUACAGAGUCAAGGCAUCAGUCAGAUUGAUACAGUUUCCCUGUGUGAAAUACUUUCCAUCUUGCUUCAGGACUUUCAUUGAGAGGUCAAGAAUCAACCGCAGAAAUUCCCACGUAGAAUCUUCUUCUGGAGAUGUGGAGAUUGGAACAGCUGUCAGAUCAUUAAUUACAUAAUCAAACAUCCUUCCUUCUUUGGCAUACCUCUUCAGUACAGGAAUACAGUCUUCAAUUAGAACCUGAUAGCACUCUCCUUUCAGAUUGUCUAAGACAUCUCCGCAUGUUUUACGCAUGUACUUUUUACACCCGUCGAUCACCAUUUGGUCAAUCUCUACCAUAGUAACCAUCUUUGGCUUCAGUUUGACUAUCUCAUACAGAAUACCCCCAUCACCACCUCCAAGGAUCAGCACUUCUUUGCCAGUGUAGUCUUCCUUUCCGCUGCCCAUUAUGGCUCGAGUAUAUGCCAGGUCACUUUCUGCCAGAUUAACAUCCCCACUGAGAAUAAGAAUAUUCCCAAACUGUUUUGAAUGCAGAAUUUUAAUGUUCUGAAAAGGUGAAUCUUCAUCAUAAACAACUUCAUCUAUGUCGUAUUCUACCAAGCGCCCAUCAGCCGUGGGCCAGUAUCUAUCGAUGACACCUCCUCUC